UGUGCCACGGGAGGCAGCAGUGAGGAAUAUUGGUCAAUGGGCGGUAGCCUGAACCAGCCAAGUAGCGUGAAGGAUGAAGGUUCUAUGGAUUGUAAACUUCUUUUAUAAAGGAAUAAAGUGAGGCACGUGUGCCUUUUUGUAUGUACUUUAUGAAUAAGGAUCGGCUAACUCCGUGCCAGCAGCCGCGGUAACACGUAGGAUCCGAGCGUUAUCCGGAUUUAUUGGGUUUAAAGGGAGCGUGGAUGGGUUGUUAAGUCAGUUGUGAAUGUUUGCGGCUCAACCGUAAAAUUGCAAUUGAUACUGGG
Molecule: ribosomal RNA, 305 nt
Filed under: uncultured bacterium
Lineage: Bacteria
Description: bacterial SSU rRNA
Rfam family: Bacterial small subunit ribosomal RNA
Source: RNAcentral